AUCAAAAAGCGGCAUUUUUGUAAGGGCAACAUAUUCAAAUCCCCAAUUCAACAAAACGCAGACUGGUACACCCAACAUGGCCGAACAUUCGGUCGCUCACUGAUCCUGAUUUGACUACUUAUGUCUUAAAUACUGAGUCGACAGCUGCUGCUAACGCUUAAUAUUCUCACUGUUCUGUGUCCGUGAACAAUAAAUGAGGUUAAGCGCGUUCUCUCCAUAUCGUAAAAAUGCGCACACUGUGGACUUUUACACGCGUGAUGUUUGGAGCACGUUCGCGUGUUUGAGUCCAGAGGAACUGUUGUGUGCUAUCAGUUCCUCACAAGACCGCAUGAGGGCGAUAGAAGAAGGAAAACAAUAACUUUGGUUUCUGCAAUGCCUCAAAGAAGUUGGUGGACAGAUGAGGGCAGUGAAAGCCCACUGUUUACGAGGUCUGGGGUCUGUAUGCAGCUGGAAGAUCUGAUGCAGAAUCUGAUACUGAUGACUGGAGACAUUAUAGAAGGAGUGUCAUCAGAAGAACUUCUGACCAGAUGAAUUUAUGCAGGCAGUGUCUGG
Carassius auratus (goldfish) is the source of this 552-nucleotide long non-coding RNA. RefSeq lists it as uncharacterized. The record is from RefSeq and is a predicted model, not a curated record. Lineage: Eukaryota; Metazoa; Chordata; Actinopteri; Cypriniformes; Cyprinidae. The transcript is spliced from 3 exons.